GAUGAACGCUGGCGGCGUGCCUAAUACAUGCAAGUCGAGCGAACAGACGAGGAGCUUGCUCCUCUGACGUUAGCGGCGGACGGGUGAGUAACACGUGGAUAACCUACCUAUAAGACUGGGAUAACUUCGGGAAACCGGAGCUAAUACCGGAUAAUAUAUUGAACCGCAUGGUUCAAUAGUGAAAGACGGUUUUGCUGUCACUUAUAGAUGGAUCCGCGCCGCAUUAGCUAGUUGGUAAGGUAACGGCUUACCAAGGCAACGAUGCGUAGCCGACCUGAGAGGGUGAUCGGCCACACUGGAACUGAGACACGGUCCAGACUCCGACGGGAGGCAGCAGUAGGGAAGCUUCCGAAAUGGGCGAAAGCCUGACGGAGCAACGCCGCGUGAGUGAUGAAGGUCUUCGGAUCGUAAAACUCUGUUAUUAGGGAAGAACAAAUGUGUAAGUAACUAUGCACGUCUUGACGGUACCUAAUCAGAAAGCCACGGCUAACUACGUG
RNAcentral lists this ribosomal RNA (497 nucleotides) under uncultured bacterium. Its description in RNAcentral is "partial 16S ribosomal RNA". It matches the Rfam family "Bacterial small subunit ribosomal RNA", at positions 28 to 507 of the family's 1533-position model. The record is from RNAcentral.